UGCUUUCCCCAUGGAGCUUGUAACUGUUGGGUAGUGGGUCGGGAGUCGAGACAGCUGGAUGGGUGUUUAAAUGCAUGGAUCCGUAAUCGAGUACCCAAUCAUCCAUCAGUCGUAUCCAUCCAUCCUUCCCUGCCUCACAUCCUUUUUAUGUGAAGGAGAGAUUGUUAUUUAAAAAAAAAAACAAAACUCCAACAAUUUUUAGCAGAAAAUACCUUUCUACAUGAUAAAUAUGAGAAGGGAAGACAAAACAACCCAAAUUUAUUAAAAAUAAAAUUAAAAAUUAAGUUUUUCUACUUGAUAAAUAAACCCUUCAUUUCUAACAGGACCACCCUUAUGACGACAAAGGAGAAAAAUAAAUAUACAUCAUUUUCUUGAGAAAAUAUAUGUAUAGAAAGAGUCUGAAUCCUCGCCGACGAGUUUAGUUCAAUCAAGUGUUUCUUACUCAAUAAAACAAAAAGAAAAAAAAAUUAUUGUUAUGUAAAAUAAGAGCAGUUGACCAAGAACUACGAAAAUUCUAAGUAAAAAAAAAUGCAUUAUAAUGAUAUCACUUAUCAUAAUUUUAUUUUCAUUAAAACAUUAAUACAAUAUUCUUGCAAAUAUUGGUGAGUUUUGUCAUAAUUAUUAGCAUGCUAAGUGGCAUAAAGAUUUUGAUGCUUGAGGUCAAUAUCCGCCCACUUAUUUCUAUAUUAAAAAUUGCAUAAAUCCUCUUAUACCUACGCAAAUGAUAGCAUUUGGUACCAAUUAUCUCAUGCCGUAAGGCAUGCCAUUAAGAAAGAUAGGUCAUGUGGUAGCAAUCAGGGCAUCCUCUGUAGCUUUCUUAAAGAGGGGCUAAAAUUUUUGUUCUUCGACAGCAGAGAUAGGAAGAGAGGGGGGAAAGAGGUGCAAGUAAUUAUAGAACAGGAUGUACGUACGUUUAGCUCUAAAACCUCAUUUUUGAGACGUAGGCUUCUGCCCUUUGACACGUGCCACGCACGUGCCCAACACUAUAUGCUAUUCCCUUUCUCUGAGCUGACGUCACACUCUGUUGCCUCCCUUUAACCUUUCCAUCUACCACCCUCUAACCUGAGAGACAGAGAGAGAGGAAGCAAAGUAUGGAGCUCAGCUCUCAGCCUCAUAGCCAGCGUCCUUCGCCUUACACAACAACAAAUAAACACCCCCACCAACAGUAGAGAGAGAUACAGAAACUCAGAGUAAAAGGAAGAGAGAGAUCUCUCCUUCAGUGGGUCGACUCAGGUUUCCUUAGCCUUUGUGAAGCAAGCCAGCCAGCCCUUGCCACAAGAAAUUAAAGAGCUAGCAAGCCACCAGAGAGAAGGAGAGAAACACCAAUCCAAAAGAAAGAGGAAGAGCCAUGCCACUACUAGCUACUACCUUCCAAGAGAAAGCAAGCAAGAAUACCAACAUAUGGGCAGCACUGCAGUCCUAUUUCUCCUGUUUUCCAGUAUCAGAUUUUUGAAAAUAGAGCCGAUAGCACUGCAGAUCUGAGACUUCUUACCUCUAUUAUUUUAGUAUAGUAGUGAAAAACCGAAAAAAAGAAAGCAAAAUUUGGAAGUAGAAGAAGAAGAAGAGAAGCAAUAAAUAAGAUCCGGAAGAUGCAGUCAGGAUAUGGAAGCGUAUCGGAGAUCCAGCAAUUCAUGAUGGAGAAUUGCGGCAGCUCCAUCUUCUCCAUCUCCUCCGCCACCCCUCCGAACCCCUCGGUGCCGACCGGCCCGGCCGACAUCCAUGCCGCCACCUCCCAGCCUCUCAGGUACCGCCCCCUCCACACCCCACCACCACCACCAACACGCAGCCCCAGACCCCGCCGCCGCUCCCUCCACACUUCUCCCACUUCCAUUCCAUCCCAAUCACUCAGCAGCUCUUCCAGCAGAGCCACCAGUUCCAGCUGUUCCAUCCCCAGCCCCAAGAGCAAAGAAGGCUCAUCCCCCAGCACCAGCUAGGCUUGGAUCAGGAGUCCGGCCCCGAGAACUCCACCGGAGGCGGCGGUGGCGGGCCGAGUUUUCUUGCCACCACGAUGAAUUUCAAGCUGGCGGUGAAUGAGAGCAGCGGCGGUGGCAGCCGGGAGGGACUGAACGACGAGGACAGCAUCCUCCAGGGCGACGAUGGGUCCGAGAGCCGGCUCCACCACCACUGGCAGAGAGAGGAGGAAUCAGCCAUCAAGGAGCCCUCAUGGUAAUUACUCGCCCAAUUUUCUCUCAUCUAGUCUCCAUCUCAGAAGAUCUCAAGUUGGUUUUCGGACUUUUUCCAAAUCUAGUUCUUCAAAUUCUUGGUUUCAGAUAAUUUCCUCAUUCUCUAACUGAGCCAAAGAGCUGCCCUAGCCAGUAUUAAUGCAUGACUGUGAGGCUUAAAUAGAAUUAAACAGUUGAAUCAGGAAACACGAUGAUGAUUCCUAAGGAAAGUUAGGUCGGAGAAGACCUUACAAAAGAAAGGCUAAAAGAAGGGAAGAAGCUCUUUUCUCGAUCUUCUUUUUUGUGUCUUUCUCCAUAACAAAAUGUGGGAUUUUUUGAAUUGUAAAAUUUAGCAACUUAGAAGAUGUCCACGACUUUUGAAUUAUAUAUCCUUGCUGGUGCUUUUUCCUCCUCCUCUUCUUCUUUAUCUUUCUUUUCUUUGGCUUGUUAUCAUUGCAGGAGGCCCUUGGAUAUAGAUUACGUUAAUAGGAACAACAAGAGGUACAAGGAGAAGGAGCCCGAGACACCAACAAACAAGUACUGCAAGAAGAGCAAAGAGGGAGCCGAGCCGGACCCCGGUGGCCACAUAAUCGGUGGCAACAACUACAAGCUCUUCAGCGAGCUCGAGGCCAUCUACAAGCCCGGCGGUAGCAUUAUAGGUGCUGGUGGUGGUGGUCCCAACCGAGCCGGCUCUGGCUCUGCUCUCACCGGCGACGAGACCGCCCUCAUGCCGGCCGCCACCAACCCUCCGGGACUGGCAGCUGAUCACCUCGUCGGUGGCUCGGAGACGUCGGCCGGAGAGGAGGUACCCGUGAAGAAAUUCUCCAAGGGAAGUGGGAGGAGGAAGAGGAAGCGGCGGCAGCAGAAGCAGCUGAGCUCGAUCACCGCCUUCUUCGAGAACCUGGUGAAGCAGCUGAUGGACCACCAAGAGAGCCUCCACCGGAAAUUCCUGGAAGUGAUGGAGAGGAGGGACCAGGAGAGGACGGUCCGGGAGGAGGCCUGGCGGCGCCAGGAGGCCGCCAAGUCCAGCCGCGAGGCCGCCGCCCGGGCCCAGGAGCGUGCCCUCGCCUCCUCCCGUGAGGCCGCCAUCAUCUCCUUCCUCGAGAAGAUCACCGGCGAGACCCUCCGCCUCCCGGAGAAGCCCCAAUUCCAAGCCCAAUUCCCUGAAGAACCUGCCGAAACCACCGAGAACCUCCCCAUCGAGCCCUCGAACGCCGCGAACAAUGGCGAUAGCAACACCGACAAGGUCCUCUUCAACAUCAGCCGGUGGCCCAAGGCGGAGGUUCACGCUCUGAUCAGGGUGCGAAGCGGGCUCGAGUCGAGGUUCCAGGAGCCCGGACUGAAGGGUCCACUCUGGGAGGAGGUGAGCUCGACGAUGGCCGCCAUGGGCUACCACCGGAGCGCGAAGCGGUGCAAGGAGAAGUGGGAGAACAUCAACAAAUACUUCAGGAAGACAAAGGAAAGUGGCAAGAAGCGGCCGCAGCACUCCAAGACCUGCCCUUACUUCCACCAAUUGGACCAGCUCUACUCCAAGUCCCUCAACAAGUCCCAACCCGCUUCCUCCUCCUCCCCCAAUGCCAAUGUGGCCAGUGCCACCACUUCCGGCACGGCCACCGAUCAAGGGAAGGAUCACUCCGAGCUCCUCGACGCCAUCAUCGUGUCCACCGAUCAGCAAGGCUUCAAGUUCCCUGAAAUGAGCUCGCUGCAGUUUGACUUCAAUGGCACAGACAAGGACAAUAACGAGCUCCAUCGCAAAGUAGGGAACAACGGCGAAGAAGAAGAGGACGACGAUGACGACGACGAAGAGGGAGGACGUAGAGAGAAGGCAGAGGAAAGAGAAGAAGGAGAAGGGGAGAGCCAAGUUCAACCCCACCAAGAGGAGCACCACCAACAUGACUCCAACCUCUUCUUCCAAAGUCUCCAAUCCUAGAGCUAGUUAAUUACCUCCAAUAGGUAAUCCUCUUCCAUGUUGACUGAUAGACCACUCUCCCUUUCUUCUCAAAUCUUGCAAUGUUUUCAUAUUGUUUUCGAACUAGAAACCAGUUUAGGACAUAUCAUCAGCAGCACUAGUAAAUGAAUAAGAUCAUCAGUGUACAUUAAUAUCCCACUAGGGGGUAAAUCUGUUCUUCAAAUUGUGAUCAUCACCUCUCUCUCAUCCAUUUCCAUUUUCCUUAUAGCUUACAAGACUGAAUAAUGCUCUCCUUAGCUCUGAGCAAGAACCAGUAAGAACUAAAAGCAAAAGCACAGAGGCUUGCACCAUGUCAUCCAAGUCUUUCAUUUAUGUUUAUUUAUUCAGUUUUCAAAGUUUCCACGCUAUAAGAUUGUCACGGUUACCGAUAUGGUAAUCUCUGGAUAUUCUCCGGCCUUGCAUGGCUUAGACGGAGACGAGUGUUUUUGAAUUAAGUUAAUGGUUGUUGGAGUUUGAAUGAUCGGAGAGAGAUGGAGAGCCGUGAUGGGGAGCGUGCGUGGGUUUGCGGUGUCGGGAGGGCGUGACGUCAGUGAUUGAAACCCGCACGGCGCUGCUCAUGCACGAGGUCCGCAGAGGAGGACUCCCUCGGGCCCCACCGGCUUUGAAGCCCAUUUAAAAAGCCUCAGAGACGAUGAGAGAGAAAGCUCUCUCUCUCUCUUUCCUCUCUAUCACUCCCGCUCCAGCUCGCUUCUCCUGUUUGUUCUCUCUCUCUAACCCCACCUCCUCGUCUAAUUUUGUACGGUGUGGGCUCCUAAACCACAGGUCCACUGCUUGGCAUAUAAAUGUUCUCUCGUCUCCACCCAUUCCCCCCUAUGAGCGGCCUCGGUACCCGGUUUGGCACCCGGCCAAGCUCCUUUUUGUUUUGGUCUAACACAACAGCAUGCAGGCUGGCUGGUUGUUUUCUCUCAUUUUUCCCCACUUGGCAAUUCCUGAGGGUCUACUGCAGUCUUGCUGUAGAGAGCGUGUUACAGCAUACUGUGCUUCGGCAACACAUGGAUGAUGUCUCUCUAAACAGUGGUAAUAAUAUGUUUGUUAGUACAACGUACACUUUCUUCUUUUGAUGCAAUGGAUCCUUAAUGCAUGGCUGCAUCAUAGGCUAGUUAUGUAGUACAUACUAUUGGGCAUGGUUAGGGUUAAUCGAUGUCUAACUCCGAUGAUCCAAUGGUUGGUCAUAACUCAUGUUAAACUAUAAUAGUGAUCCAAUGGCCAACACCAAUCCACACAGGCACAUGUUUUACUCAUCGAUCGAAAUGAGUAGCUCUUUAUUGAAAAAAAAACAAAAAUCUAAAUGAGUAGUUCUGCAUAUAACAAGAUCGAAUGGUUCAUUGAUAUAAUCUAGUUGGUUAAAGAUGACCGAGUUCUUUGCAGCUUGAAUUAAUACGAGCAUGAGUAGACAUCGUUCGGUCAGAAAGACAUGCAAGUACAGUUCUACUCAGCUAAAUAGGCCUAAUCGGGCAUGGUCUACCAUCUAGGUAAGAGGAAUUUCUACACUUUAUCUACAUGGAAGAUUUUGAUGGGUCCAGAAAGAGUGCAAGAAAAUUCUUCUAAUCAACAUUUUGAGUAGAUUAAAUGCAUAUGUCAUUGUCGCACAAUCAUUGAAAAUUUGCUAGGUAUUUCUAUAGUCGGAUUUCUUGUAAGAAUUUCCUACGUGCAGAUAGGGUUGUAAGGAUUCAAACUAGAAAUAAUCAUAUACCUCCAAAAUCUAGCAUGAAUUUCAAAUCACCUAGAAUAUUCGGCGUGGAAAAAAAAAAAAAAAGGGAUUCCAUUUUGACCCAAUCCUAUGGUGGCAUUUGAAUUCUCUUGAUAGGCUGCCAUCAUAAUGCUGCCAAUUAUUAAUCUAAUACUAGUUGCAUGUUGAAAACAUGUCAAUGUAGACAAAUGUUGAAACAGGACUAGUCCAUCACUGAUUAGAGUGGCAAAUUUUUCUCUCUCUCAUUUUUCUUGGUUUUGGUACCGGCACUUGCCACUCUUGUUCCUUCCCCCAAGCACAAGGAUAAGGAAAUGAAAUCAAAGGAUGCAAGAAAAUGGUGAUUAAAGAAUUUUUCCGCAUGCAAAUAAAAAACAAUAGAAGGCACAGGGGAGUUAAAGACACAAUUAAAGGAUAAUCAUGCUAUGAAUAUUUUCCAUGUACUUUCCUAGACGCCAAUUUUUCAGUAAGUGUACCCUAUUUUGGUACAGGUUAAUUCUCUUUAUUUUAUGACAUGGACAUGAUUCCUGGUUUGAUGAGCAUCAUGACCUGAGGACAAUUAUAGGAUACUGCGCCAUACUGUACAAGCAUAAGGUAGCUCGGCAUUAUUUAUAGCUAAUGCAGCACUCUCCGAUUACUUCCUCUGGACUGACACCGUAUAACAUAUCAAACAGUUGAGCAAUGAAAAGCAGUCGUUGAGGGAGAUUUUCGAGUUACUAAAUGAUUUUUUGAUUGUUUCAGAAUCUUAGAAUUUGGUGCAAGUUCGUAUCAUUUCUCAUGGAGACCUGUUGGUUCGAUCGGUUGUCUCAUUUUAUGAAAUCAUUUUCAUAAAACCCAGAUCUUAUAAAAAGACAGGUUUUAGAUUUGGUGAUCAGAAAAAACUAAUUUUGUUCAGAAAAAAGAGAGUCGAAAUUGGAUUCUAAAAAGCACAUGAAAGGACCAAUGAUCCAAAAAUGAAUAUAAGUCCAUUCGCAUGGUCAUAAUUAACUCCUGUAGCUUCCUGGGGGAGAGAUUAUUCCUAAAGCCUGAAGGCACAAGAAGAAAGUCUCCACGACUGAAGGAGAGGGUUGAGACUUGUUGCCAGUCGGUUGAGAAUAGUGAUGAAUGUCAUGCUGAGGGUCAAGUGAGAGAGGUCCAUGCGGUCUCCUCUUAGCAAGGAGAAAAUAUUUUUGCAUGAUGGGCUUGGAUAUAUAGUAUUGCAAGAUGUUUUUCAGGACUUGGUCUUACGAGAAACAUCUUCCAGUUUUAUCUAAAAGCUAGGAAGAGAAACCCAAUACAUACAAAUCGGAAGAGACGGAUAUUAUUAUAAUAAAUAAAGGAUAUGUACUCAUUUUUAAUCAAUAUAAAAUAAGAAGAGAGAAAAGGGAUUUGAGUCUUAUUUUUAUAAUUUUUUUUUUUAUAAAAUUUAAGUUGAGCAAGUUGAAGAAAAAUCUCCCUUCCGCUCGGAGUCAACAAAAGUUAAGUUUAACCUCUCCUAAAAGAUUCAUCAUCCCGAUACUAGAUUCUAUGACAAAAUUAAUACAGUACGGCAAGAUGCUCCCAUAUGAUAUGAUAUUUCGGAUAGCAUCCCUGCCAUAUGAUACUUCCGGUACAAUGCGAUGCAUAUUGAUAUCAUGAAAUUUGAUCUCAUUCAAAUAUAAGUAUUUGUUAAAGCAGGUUUUAUAUAUUACUUUUUAUUUUGUUAAAAUUAAUCAAACAAACAGCUCCUAGCUAAAUGCAUAAAAGAAGACGAGAAGCAGCAUUCACUGGUCAUUUUCUAAAACAACAAAGAAACCUUUCGAAAUUUGCUUUUACGACUGCGAUCGAUCGCAAGUGGGCCCUAUACUCAUAUACAUGCGAGACCAUUCAACGAAUACACAAUAAAUAGUUCAAGAAUGUGGGACAGGUAUAUGACAUUACCAGUGAUAAGGAAGCUAUAGCAAACCCCAUCAAUCCACAACCAUGUGUCUUUGGACAUCGUGGUGGAUGAAACAGACACGGCUCCCUCCCCUUCAAUCCAUAUAUUUCAAAGAUACGGAAUUCCAUCGACGAGAUCGCGUGAUGUGCAUGCCUUCCCUGGUUACUAUCAUGACUUGAUUUGUUCCACCAUUCCUAUCUAAAUUCCCGGAUGGAGCAGGUGCAUGCAAAGGAGGAAACACUAGAAACAGUCCCCCUUAUAAGCGCUGGUGUGAUGGUUGUCCUUAUUAGGCUUCUCUCUCUCUCUCUCUCUCUCUCU
This 8033-nucleotide long non-coding RNA is filed under the name Elaeis guineensis (African oil palm). Its description in RNAcentral is "long non-coding RNA (EGUI_LNC024918)". The record is from RNAcentral. Lineage: Eukaryota; Viridiplantae; Streptophyta; Magnoliopsida; Arecales; Arecaceae.